UUAACAAAACUAACAGCUCUUUCAAGAUUAUGUGGUAGGUGGUGCAUGGCCGUUCUUAGUUCGUGAAGUGAUUCGUUCGCCCAAUCGCAUUUCCAAACAACUAACAACUCAGAAUGCUGGGCAAUAGGACGUUUAAAGUGGCUCCUUACACCUUACAAAGGAAUGGCUGAUGAGAAACAACUCGAUCCGCUCAGCGUUCUAUUGGAAUGCAACGGACGUGAUUGCAAGCUUUUGUUUUGAGUUGCGGUUUUACUGAAAGACUCUACAAUCCGCAAACUUCAAUGAUCUGAAGUAGAAAACCUACAUGCUACAGUGAGAUAUUGUGGAUAAACUUAAGCGACCGCUCCAACAUUGUGUUUUUUUAAAACUGAUGAAGGUUGCGGCAAUAACAGGUCUGUGAUGCCCUUCGAUGUCCUGGGCUGCACACGUGCUACAAUGGCUAGCGCAGUGAGCAUAUUUCAACCGAAACAUCGGUUGGCUGUUCUGAUUGACCCCUUCUGGGUCUCUCUGUAACACUACCGAUGAUCCCUCCUCUGAAAAGAGAGGGUAAGCCGUUCGAAAUUCUGGUAACGAUUCCCCGUAGUUAAGCAA
Molecule: ribosomal RNA, 591 nt
Filed under: Globigerinoides sacculifer
Lineage: Eukaryota; Foraminifera; Rotaliida; Globigerinidae
Description: bacterial SSU rRNA
Rfam family: Eukaryotic small subunit ribosomal RNA
Source: RNAcentral